CCUACGGGAGGCUGCAGUCGAGAAUCUUCGGCAAUGGGCGCAAGCCUGACCGAGCGACGCCGCGUGGAGGACGAAGGCCUUCGGGUUGUAAACUCCUGUCGAGGGGGAAGAAGGCGCAAGCUUGACUGAUCCCUGGAGGAAGCACGGGCUAAGUUCGUGCCAGCAGCCGCGGUAAGACGAACCGUGCGAACGUUAUUCGGAAUCACUGGGCUUAAAGCGCGUGUAGGCGGAGCGACACGUCGGUAGCUGAAAGCCCCCGGCUCAACCGGGGAACGGGCGCCGAUACGAUCGUUCUCGAGGGACGUAGGGGGACCUGGAACUUCCGGUGGAGCGGUGAAAUGCGUUGAGAUCGGAAGGAACGCCCGUGGCGAAAGCGAGGUCCUGGACGUUUUCUGACGCUGAGACGCGAAAGCCAGGGGAGCGAACGGGAUUAGAUACCCGUGUAGUC
RNAcentral lists this ribosomal RNA (448 nucleotides) under uncultured bacterium. Its description in RNAcentral is "bacterial SSU rRNA". It matches the Rfam family "Bacterial small subunit ribosomal RNA", at positions 338 to 795 of the family's 1533-position model. The record is from RNAcentral.